RNAcentral lists this transfer RNA (73 nucleotides) under Methanobacteriota archaeon. RNAcentral describes it as "Euryarchaeota archaeon (hot springs metagenome) tRNA-Ala". It matches the Rfam family "tRNA". From Rfam's summary of the family: Transfer RNA (tRNA) molecules are approximately 80 nucleotides in length. Their secondary structure includes four short double-helical elements and three loops (D, anti-codon, and T loops). Lineage: Archaea; Methanobacteriati; Methanobacteriota. The record is from RNAcentral.
GGGCUCGUAGAUCAGUUGGAAGAUCGCCACUUUGGCAUAGUGGAGGCCUCGGGUUCAAAUCCCGACGAGUCCA